GGCCUAUCAGCUUGUUGGUGGGGUAAUGGCCUACCAAGGCGACGACGGGUAGCCGACCUGAGAGGGUGAUCGGCCACACUGGGACUGAGACACGGCCCAGACUCCUACGGGAGGCAGCAGUGGGGAAUAUUGCACAAUGGGCGCAAGCCUGAUGCAGCGACGCCGCGUGAGGGAUGACGGCCUUCGGGUUGUAAACCUCUUUCGCUAGGGACGAAG
RNAcentral lists this ribosomal RNA (216 nucleotides) under Gordonia sp. MS117a. RNAcentral describes it as "partial 16S ribosomal RNA". It matches the Rfam family "Bacterial small subunit ribosomal RNA", at positions 235 to 450 of the family's 1533-position model. The record is from RNAcentral. Lineage: Bacteria; Bacillati; Actinomycetota; Actinomycetes; Mycobacteriales; Gordoniaceae.